UUGUGCUCCAUUAAGCCUUUGCUUUUGAGCAUAACAACAAUUUCAGACAUUGUUGGCCUUGCAGCAGGAGAUGCUUGAGUGCAGAAUAAAUAAAUAAAAGAAUAGAAAUU
Molecule: long non-coding RNA, 110 nt
Organism: Neltuma alba
Lineage: Eukaryota; Viridiplantae; Streptophyta; Magnoliopsida; Fabales; Fabaceae
Exons: 3
Source: RefSeq, a predicted model, not a curated record